RNAcentral lists this ribosomal RNA (411 nucleotides) under Mogibacterium vescum. RNAcentral's name for it is "bacterial SSU rRNA". It matches the Rfam family "Bacterial small subunit ribosomal RNA", at positions 28 to 424 of the family's 1533-position model. Lineage: Bacteria; Bacillati; Bacillota; Clostridia; Peptostreptococcales; Anaerovoracaceae. The record is from RNAcentral.
GAUGAACGCUGGCGGCGUGCCUAAUACAUGCAAGUCGAGCGAGAUGUUAGCGCAUGAACCUUCGGGGGAUUAUGCUAACGGACAGCGGCGGACGGGUGAGUAACGCGUAGGCAACCUGCCCCUGACAGAGGGAUAGCCAUUGGAAACGAUGAUUAAAACCUCAUGACACCGUAGAAGCACAUGCUUCAUCGGUCAAAGAUUUAUCGGUCAGGGAUGGGCCUGCGUCUGAUUAACUAGUUGGUGAGGUAACGGCUCACCAAGGUGACGAUCAGUAGCCGACCUGAGAGGGUGAUCGGCCACAUUGGAACUGAGACACGGUCCAAACUCUACGGAGGCAGCAGUAGGGAAUCUUGCACAAUGGGCGAAAGCCUGAUGCAGCAACGCCGCGUGAAGGAUGAAGGCCUUCGGGUU